RNAcentral lists this ribosomal RNA (1361 nucleotides) under uncultured bacterium. Its description in RNAcentral is "bacterial SSU rRNA". It matches the Rfam family "Bacterial small subunit ribosomal RNA", at positions 28 to 1381 of the family's 1533-position model. The record is from RNAcentral.
AUUGAACGCUGGCGGCAGGCCUAACACAUGCAAGCCGAGCGGUAGCACAGAGAGCUUGCUCUCGGGUGACGAGCGGCGGACGGGUGAGUAAUGUCUGGGAAACUGCCUGAUGGAGGGGGAUAACUACUGGAAACGGUAGCUAAUACCGCAUAAUGUCGCAAGACCAAAGUGGGGGACCUUCGGGCCUCAUGCCAUCAGAUGUGCCCAGAUGGGAUUAGCUGGUAGGUGGGGUAACGGCUCACCUAGGCGACGAUCCCUAGCUGGUCUGAGAGGAUGACCAGCCACACUGGAACUGAGACACGGUCCAGACUCCUACGGGAGGCAGCAGUGGGGAAUAUUGCACAAUGGGCGCAAGCCUGAUGCAGCCAUGCCGCGUGUGUGAAGAAGGCCUUCGGGUUGUAAAGCACUUUCAGCGGGGAGGAAGGCGGUGAGGUUAAUAACCUCAUCGAUUGACGUUACCCGCAGAAGAAGCACCGGCUAACUCCGUGCCAGCAGCCGCGGUAAUACGGAGGGUGCAAGCGUUAAUCGGAAUUACUGGGCGUAAAGCGCACGCAGGCGGUCUGUCAAGUCGGAUGUGAAAUCCCCGGGCUCAACCUGGGAACUGCAUUCGAAACUGGCAGGCUAGAGUCUUGUAGAGGGGGGUAGAAUUCCAGGUGUAGCGGUGAAAUGCGUAGAGAUCUGGAGGAAUACCGGUGGCGAAGGCGGCCCCCUGGACAAAGACUGACGCUCAGGUGCGAAAGCGUGGGGAGCAAACAGGAUUAGAUACCCUGGUAGUCCACGCCGUAAACGAUGUCGAUUUGGAGGUUGUGCCCUUGAGGCGUGGCUUCCGGAGCUAACGCGUUAAAUCGACCGCCUGGGGAGUACGGCCGCAAGGUUAAAACUCAAAUGAAUUGACGGGGGCCCGCACAAGCGGUGGAGCAUGUGGUUUAAUUCGAUGCAACGCGAAGAACCUUACCUGGUCUUGACAUCCACAGAACUUUCCAGAGAUGGAUUGGUGCCUUCGGGAACUGUGAGACAGGUGCUGCAUGGCUGUCGUCAGCUCGUGUUGUGAAAUGUUGGGUUAAGUCCCGCAACGAGCGCAACCCUUAUCCUUUGUUGCCAGCGGUUAGGCCGGGAACUCAAAGGAGACUGCCAGUGAUAAACUGGAGGAAGGUGGGGAUGACGUCAAGUCAUCAUGGCCCUUACGACCAGGGCUACACACGUGCUACAAUGGCAUAUACAAAGAGAAGCGACCUCGCGAGAGCAAGCGGACCUCAUAAAGUAUGUCGUAGUCCGGAUUGGAGUCUGCAACUCGACUCCAUGAAGUCGGAAUCGCUAGUAAUCGUAGAUCAGAAUGCUACGGUGAAUACGUUCCCGGGCCU